GAUGAACGCUGGCGGCGUGCCUAAUACAUGCAAGUCGAGCGAACGGACGAGAAGCUUGCGUCGCUGAUGUUAGCGGCGGACGGGAGAGUAACACGUGGAUAACCUACCUAUAAGACUGGGAUAACUUCGGGAAACCGGAGCUAAUCCCGGAUGAUAUUUUGAACCGCAGGGUUCAAAAGUGAAAGACGGUCUUGCGGGCUGUUAUAGAUGGAUCCGCGCUGCAUUAGCUAGUUGGUAAGGUAACGGCCUACCAAGGCAAGGAUGCGUAGCCGACGUGAGAGAGUGAUAGGCGACACGGGAACUGGACCACGGUCCAGGCUCCUGCGGGAGGCAGCAGAAGGGAAUCUUACGCAAUGGGCGAGAGCCUGACGGAGCAACGCCGCGUGAGUGGUGAAGGUCUUCGGAUCGUAAAGCUCUGUUAUUAGGGAAGAACAUAUGUGUAAGUAACUGUGCACAUCUUGACGGUAACUAAUCAGAAAGCCACGGCUAACUACGUG
This 497-nucleotide ribosomal RNA is filed under the name uncultured bacterium. RNAcentral describes it as "partial 16S ribosomal RNA". It matches the Rfam family "Bacterial small subunit ribosomal RNA", at positions 28 to 507 of the family's 1533-position model. The record is from RNAcentral.